UAACUGAGCGUUCAGUUACUUGACGUAGACCCGAAACCGGGCGACCUACCCAUGAGCAGGAUGAAGCGAAAGUAAAAUUUCGUGGAGGUCCGAACCCACGAGCGUUGAAAAGCUCGGGGAUGACUUGUGGGUAGCGGUGAAAUUCCAAUCGAGCCCGGAGAUAGCUGGUUCUCCCCGAAAUAGCUUUAGGGCUAGCCUCAAGGUGAGAGAUACGGAGGUAGAGCACUGAAUGUCCUAGGGGGUAUUGCACCUACCGAAGACUAUCAAACUCCGAAUGCCGUCAUCUUAUACUUGGGAGUCAGACUGUGGGUGAUAAGAUUCAUAGUCGAAAGGGCAACAGCCCAGAUCGUCAGCUAAGGUCCCUAAAUGUAAGUUAAGUGGUAAAGGAUGUGGGAUUGCACAGACAACCAGGAUGUUGGCUUAGAAGCAGCCACUCAUUCAAAGAGUGCGUAAUAGCUCACUGGUCGAGUGAUCCUGCGCCGAAGAUUUCCGGGGCUAAAACUUACUACCGAAGCUACGGCAUCAGUAAUGAUGGGUAGGGGAGCUUCCCAUACGGGUUGAAGCAUGACCGUAAGGACAUGUGGACAGUAUGGGAGUGAGAAUGUUGGCAUGAGUAGCGAGAUGUGGGUG
This 630-nucleotide ribosomal RNA is filed under the name Clostridioides difficile. RNAcentral's name for it is "bacterial LSU rRNA". It matches the Rfam family "Bacterial large subunit ribosomal RNA", at positions 685 to 1323 of the family's 2925-position model. The record is from RNAcentral. Lineage: Bacteria; Bacillati; Bacillota; Clostridia; Peptostreptococcales; Peptostreptococcaceae.